Molecule: ribosomal RNA, 208 nt
Filed under: uncultured bacterium
Lineage: Bacteria
Description: partial 16S ribosomal RNA
Rfam family: Bacterial small subunit ribosomal RNA
Source: RNAcentral
CACGCAGGCGGUUUUUUUAAGUCAGAUGUGAAAGGUACCGGCUCAACCGGUGACAUGCAUUUGAAACUGAAAGACUUGAGUAUCGGAGAGGCAAGUGGAAUUCCUAGUGUAGCGGUGAAAUGCGUAGAUAUUAGGAGGAACACCGGUGGCGAAGGCGGCUUGCUGGACAAAUACUGACGCUGAGGUGCGAAAGCGUGGGGAGCAAACA